UACGUAGGGGGCAAGCGUUGUCCGGAAUCAUUGGGCGUAAAGAGCGCGUAGGCGGUCCGGUAAGUCCGCUGUGAAAGUCCAGGGCUCAACCCUGGGAUGCCGGUCGAUACUGCCGGACUAGAGUUCGGAAGAGGCGAGUGGAAUUCCCGGUGUAGCGGUGAAAUGCGCAGAUAUCGGGAGGAACACCUAUGGCGAAGGCAGCUCGCUGGGACGUUACUGACGCUGAGACGCGAAAGCGUGGGGGAGCAAACAGG
This 254-nucleotide ribosomal RNA is filed under the name uncultured bacterium. RNAcentral describes it as "partial 16S ribosomal RNA". It matches the Rfam family "Bacterial small subunit ribosomal RNA", at positions 524 to 776 of the family's 1533-position model. The record is from RNAcentral.